RNAcentral lists this transfer RNA (75 nucleotides) under Anaerolineae bacterium. RNAcentral's name for it is "tRNA-Ala". It matches the Rfam family "tRNA". Rfam says of the family: Transfer RNA (tRNA) molecules are approximately 80 nucleotides in length. The record is from RNAcentral. Lineage: Bacteria; Bacillati; Chloroflexota; Anaerolineae.
GGGGCUGUAGCUCAGUGGGAGAGCACUUGUCUGGCAGACAAGGGGUCAGGGGUUCAAAUCCCCUCAGCUCCACCU